AAUUGGAGAGUUUGAUCCUGGCUCAGAGCGAACGCUAGCGGCGCGCUUAACACAUGCAAGUCGCACGAGAAAGAGGGGCAACCCUUGAGUAAAGUGGCGCACGGGUGAGUAACACGUGGGUAAUCUACCCCCGAGACUGGAAUAACCCGCCGAAAGGUGGGCUAAUACCGGAUAAGACCACGGGACACAAGUUCUGCGGUCAAAGGCGGGUCGGCAACGGCCUGUUACUUGGGGAUGAGCCCGCGUCCCAUCAGCUAGUUGGUAAGGUAACGGCUUACCAAGGCUAAGACGGGUAGCUGGUCUUAGAGGACGAUCAGCCACACUGGCACUGAAACACGGGCCAGACUCCUACGGGAGGCAGCAGUGGGGAA
Molecule: ribosomal RNA, 371 nt
Filed under: Deltaproteobacteria bacterium
Lineage: Bacteria; Pseudomonadati; Myxococcota; Myxococcia
Description: bacterial SSU rRNA
Rfam family: Bacterial small subunit ribosomal RNA
Source: RNAcentral